Molecule: ribosomal RNA, 360 nt
Filed under: Escherichia coli
Lineage: Bacteria; Pseudomonadati; Pseudomonadota; Gammaproteobacteria; Enterobacterales; Enterobacteriaceae
Description: bacterial SSU rRNA
Rfam family: Bacterial small subunit ribosomal RNA
Source: RNAcentral
GACGAUCCCUAGCUGGUCUGAGAGGAUGACCAGCCACACUGGAACUGAGACACGGUCCAGACUCCUACGGGAGGCAGCAGUGGGGAAUAUUGCACAAUGGGCGCAAGCCUGAUGCAGCCAUGCCGCGUGUAUGAAGAAGGCCUUCGGGUUGUAAAGUACUUUCAGCGGGGAGGAAGGGAGUAAAGUUAAUACCUUUGCUCAUUGACGUUACCCGCAGAAGAAGCACCGGCUAACUCCGUGCCAGCAGCCGCGGUAAUACGGAGGGUGCAAGCGUUAAUCGGAAUUACUGGGCGUAAAGCGCACGCAGGCGGUUUGUUAAGUCAGAUGUGAAAUCCCCGGGCUCAACCUGGGAACUGCAUC